AUACUUUAAGAAUCACAAUAACAAUUGGUUUCUCUUGCACAGAUCCUGUUCUAUCAACCACAAAAGCUCUGGGGUGAGCAGGGUUGGGGUGCUGAGCCCACAACCACAUGAGAUGAAGAUUCCGAAGGACAGGACCUUUCAGCAAGCAAACCGCAGACAAGGCUCAAAGAUCUCUUUGACCCCUGUGUGGACAACAGAUCAGAAGAAGCAGAGAGCCUGGCUGGGAGGCGACUGCAAGGAGAGCUCCGCUUGGAAAACAGAGGGACAAAUUGGAUGCAGAUCUGCUUGUUCUGAUACCUAAGCAUGGCUUGGAAAAUGAAUUACCAGGCAAGUCAGUGGUUCAUUCCAUUAGCUCUUCAUAAGACAUUGCUUCGUAACUGCCUGCUGGGGAAGCCUCCCAAGGGAGGGGCUUUGCAGUCUUCGCAGUCUGAUUACCAGAGUUGGUGGCCUGGCCAACCCUGGGGACAUACGUGGG
RNAcentral lists this long non-coding RNA (475 nucleotides) under Bos indicus x Bos taurus (hybrid cattle). RNAcentral's name for it is "lncRNA (ENSBIXG00005015884.1)". Lineage: Eukaryota; Metazoa; Chordata; Mammalia; Artiodactyla; Bovidae. The record is from RNAcentral.